Peromyscus eremicus (cactus mouse) is the source of this 1943-nucleotide long non-coding RNA. RefSeq lists it as uncharacterized. Lineage: Eukaryota; Metazoa; Chordata; Mammalia; Rodentia; Cricetidae. The record is from RefSeq and is a predicted model, not a curated record. The transcript is spliced from 2 exons.
AACAUCACGAUCCGGUUGGGCAGCACAGGAAUUUAAGGAUAUAGUUAGGAAGGGGCUGUUGAACAGAGGUAUGAGGGACUGGGUUAACUCGAGGAGGAGGGGCACAGAGAAAGGAGGACCCAGCUAACCAAUGGGAGGUGCUGAGGUUGAGGGAGGUCAGAGGGAAGGAGAAACUACACUUAAGAGCUGUAAGUUGAGCUAGCCAAUAGAGGGGAAGAGAUUGUGGGUGGGCGUGCCCUAAAGCUAAUCGGAAUGGAACUGGAGGUACGCCGGACCUAGGCGAGGGAUACGACAUCCUCCAAUCGGAAGAAAGCGCCCUACUAAUCAGCGCUCGCCAACAGCAGACAGGCGGGCCCGUGGGCCAAUCGCAAACAAGGACUGCAGAAGGCCAGGCUAGGAAGAAGAGGCAGGAGGCAGGAGACAGGCUGAGGUAGCCAAUCAUUGUCUGUAAAGAACAGCGGGCGGGCCGGCAGGCCUUUUAAGGACUCCGAGGGUCUCGAAAGUGGCCUGUGAGGGGCCUUUUAGGGCAGGAGGUGGCAUUGUUCAAAGGGGGGACGGUGUGGUCCCAAGAACCGGGCUAAGAUACGCGGUUGUGAAUCUGGGAUCCUCACCUCGGGCCUUGCGCCGACUCUCCUGGUCGCCGAGGCUGGGUGGCUUCUCCAUGGAGCUCAGGAUGGAGCCCAGUAGGUCCGCCAUCUUGGGAAUAACUGAGAGGGGGCGGUGCGUCUUAAAGGGAAGGGCGAAAUGCCUUUAAGGCCGGAAACACGUCGGCCGCGAAAAACCGCGCUGCCCCGCCCCGCCCCGCUUAAGGCAGCGAGCCCAGGCCGGCGGACUUGCGUGGCGAUCUUCCCGCCCCGCCCCCAGCAGACACAGGCCGGAGGCUAGCUGGUGCAGAGAUGUUUAAUGGCAGUUCGUAUAAACCAAGCCCAUGCACAAGUAGAAAGUGCUUGUGGAGCCAGCCGGGGGCCCCCCGCCGCGCCAGGGAACCAGACGCCCGGCCGCGCAGCGCCUUAAAUAGAUUCUUCACUAUACUCUGUAUGUUACAGUAUGUACAAACCCCUCCCCACGGGAGCGGGACUCCGCCUCGCGAUCCUAUGUACACCCCCUCCUCUUUGGACCCCGAGGUGGGUGGCCAGAGUCAGGGUGAUGGGGAAGACAGGGCCAGGAAAGGAGGAAACAGACGCAAACAUGCGGAGUCAGGGUGGGGCAGAGUCACCCCUGAAACACGAGGGCGCGCGCAGCGAAGGCAGUGGUGGGGACCGAGGCGGAUACAUUCAUCAUAGACUCGUCGAACAAAUAAAUAAGGCAAGUCAGGAAGGUCCUAGUCAGGUGCAGGCAGGAGCGGGGUUAUGGAGAAGGUGCAGGCAGGGCUCCGUAGGUCACAGCUGAAGAUGCAGAUAUGUGGGGCGUGGGUCUUCUGGAGCCAGGGACCAAAAGAGGAGGCACGACCAGAGGGGAGGCCAAGUGUGGGACUAAGGCUGGGGGAAGGGGCGGGGGUUCUACAAAGGGCUCCCAAGAAGGUGAAGGAGAAAAAGCUGCCGACAGGGGGCUCCCCUAGUCCCGAAAGCCUUCUCCUUGUUAAGACAGCCAGGGCCCCCCGGGGUGUGGAGAAAGGCGGUGGAGAGGUCAGGUGGCCAGUCCUGGCUGAGGCAGCCCUUCCAGCUCCUGGUUCUGCUUCAGUUCCCUCAUCCUGUGGAGACACAGAGCGGAGUCAGAGGAGAGUAGUGGAUAAAGAAAAGGUGACGGGGUAGAGAUCCAGCCAGAAGGCUCUAACCUGCUUGUACUUCCGGUAACAACGUUGGAUCACAGCUGCGGCUACCUCCUGCUGCUCCUUCAACCUCCGGCCCUAAGGGAAGAAAACGAAGCCUCCUCAUCUCAGCAUCUCACUGCCCACCUAGUAGACUUCCUCCCGAGGUCCCCUCCUUAAAACGUGUUGGUUUUUA